AACUUUAUAGUGUAUAUAACGCACAGCAGAUUGCAAAGCUGCAAGAGAUAGAAUCUAAAGUUU
RNAcentral lists this transfer RNA (63 nucleotides) under Ophioceres incipiens. RNAcentral's name for it is "tRNA-Cys". Lineage: Eukaryota; Metazoa; Echinodermata; Ophiuroidea; Amphilepidida; Ophiolepididae. The record is from RNAcentral.